This 426-nucleotide ribosomal RNA is filed under the name uncultured Proteiniphilum sp. RNAcentral's name for it is "bacterial SSU rRNA". It matches the Rfam family "Bacterial small subunit ribosomal RNA", at positions 356 to 774 of the family's 1533-position model. The record is from RNAcentral. Lineage: Bacteria; Pseudomonadati; Bacteroidota; Bacteroidia; Bacteroidales; Dysgonomonadaceae.
GGGGAAUAUUGGACAAUGGGCGAAAGCCUGAUCCAGCCAUGCCGCGUGUGUGAAGAAGGUCUUCGGAUUGUAAAGCACUUUAAGUUGGGAGGAAGGGUUUCUGGCUACUAUCCAGGAAUUUUGACGUUACCGUACGAAUACGGAUCGGCUAACUCCGUGCCAGCAGCCGCGGUAAUACGGAGGAUCCGAGCGUUAUCCGGAUUUAUUGGGUUUAAAGGGUGCUCAGGCGGGGGAUUAAGUCGGCGGUGAAAUUUUGCAGCUCAACUGUAAAAGUGCCUUCGAAACUGGUUUCCUUGAGUGCGGAUGAGGUAGGCGGAAUUUGUGGUGUAGCGGUGAAAUGCAUAGAUAUCACGAGGAACUCCGAUUGCGCAGGCAGCUUACCAAGCCGUAACUGACGCUCAAGCACGAAGGCGUGGGGAUCAAACA